Molecule: long non-coding RNA, 580 nt
Filed under: Capsella rubella
Lineage: Eukaryota; Viridiplantae; Streptophyta; Magnoliopsida; Brassicales; Brassicaceae
Description: long non-coding RNA (CRUB_LNC002947)
Source: RNAcentral
UCUUCUAAGCUCAUCCCCAUAAUCCAAGCCAAGACAUAAGAGAAGUAUGAAUCAAUCUUUGUUUCUCAUUUAAGUAAUGUCUACUUUUUCUUGGAUUAUAGAGACAUCCUAAAGCUUUUGUUUUCAUGCAUAUAGGUGUUGGUGUGAACGUGUUAUCGUUGGUUCACGUUUACGUACGAGAAAAGGAGAAAACAAAAGAAAAGGGUUAAUAGUUAUUUUGUCUAUUCGUGGAUAUGUCGACUCUCGAGUCAUCGUCUGGUCACGAGCCUUGUUCGUUAUCGACUUACUUACUUGCCGUGUGCGGUGGGGUAUUACUUGCACCCAUUGACUUCUAUUAAAAUCUUUCUUAAGGGUCAAGAAGAAUAUGAUAAGUAAUAAAUUAAUACGUGCCUUUGUAUACACGUACAUGUUUUAAUACGGUAACGUUUGAUUUCACUUUACUAAUUAUAUACAUUUUGGAUUCACAUGUACUAUACGUUUUCUAUUCGAAUUGAUUCAUUAUGACCUUGAUGUAAAUCAUGAUGAGUUUGAAAGUGCAUGUGUGCACGUAACUCAAGUAAAAAAAAAACAUAUACUGUAG